CCAUGGACAGAACUGUGCUGGUGCUCCUCUUGAGUCUGCAGGUUUUCCUGCUCAUCACAGCCUUCGCUUCUACUGAUGCAGCUCCUCUGGUGAAAGAUAAUCAUCAGCGACAGUUUCCUGGUCAGGCAAAAAGUGCACCCAAGAGAAUGAUCCGUGCUGCCUGGUGCAGAUGCAGACCGGGAGCAUAUACCAUCAUUGGAGAUAGAAUGUUUUCAACAAAUUUCAACACGAAAGCAAGAAACCUGCGGGAGAGAUGAGUAAUAUCUGGGAUGCUGGAUAUGGAUGAUCAAACUACCCCAAACCCUCAACUGUUGGAUUUGCGCAGCAAAAGAAAUAACUGAUUGGAAGAAGAUGGACGAAGGAAGACCAGAGAGCUUGUUUUCUAAAUCAGUAAUUAAUGAAGGAAACAGAACAGAAUUAGAAAUUGCACAGUUCUUGCAGAAUGUGACCACAAGAUGGAGUCAGUCAGCUUUUUUUUUUCACAGCAGCAGAUCA
Long non-coding RNA from Toxotes jaculatrix (banded archerfish), 495 nucleotides. RefSeq lists it as uncharacterized. The record is from RefSeq and is a predicted model, not a curated record. The transcript is spliced from 5 exons. NCBI's taxonomy places the organism in Eukaryota, Metazoa, Chordata, Actinopteri, Toxotidae.